Coniochaeta pulveracea is the source of this 112-nucleotide non-coding RNA. The record is from the annotation of a GenBank genome assembly. Lineage: Eukaryota; Fungi; Ascomycota; Sordariomycetes; Coniochaetales; Coniochaetaceae.
GCCCGCUUAGCUCAGUGGUCAGAGCGUGUCGCCAGCACCGUCUCCUAAGAAAUACCUUUAGAACAGCGUCCGGUUGGUGGCAAGGUCAUCAGUUCGAACCUGAUAGUGGGUA